RNAcentral lists this non-coding RNA (25 nucleotides) under Arabidopsis thaliana (thale cress). The record is from RNAcentral. Lineage: Eukaryota; Viridiplantae; Streptophyta; Magnoliopsida; Brassicales; Brassicaceae.
AAUCUACAUAUACAUUUUUGCAGCA